GAACUUGCUUGACCGCUUUCGGUAUCGGAAUGUUUUGGAUUGCUCUAAUCUUUUCAGGGUCGGUCUUAAGUAUACCGCCACCAACGAUAUACCCCAGGUGGAUACCUCGCUUAGGAUUUGGAGGUGCGAAUCAAAAUCUGGCGCAAUGAUCAGCAAAUCAUCAAGAUAUAUGAAAACGUUUCCUUUAAGUUUCUGAGGAAUUACGCGGUCCAUUAAUCGGCACAAACGCUGCGCGGCGUUGCAUAAACCGAACGGCAUUGUUACAAACUGAUACAGGGGCCGUCCAGGUACCGUGAACGCAGUGUAUGGUUUGCAUUUGUCCUCCAACUCAAUCUGCCAAAAGGCGAAUUUAAGAUCAACACUGCUUAUAAAGUGGGUGUCGUCGAGGCGGCUGAGUAUGCCUUCGAUGUUCUGCAGCGGGUAGGCGUCGUUCACGGUUACAGCAUUCAGUUUGCGCGCGUCAAGGCAGAAGCGAUUUUUACCCGGUUUACGAACAAUUGUCGUGCGGUUACUCCACGGGCUCUCGCUUUCCUCGAUCACACCUAAUUCCAACAUUUUAUCUACUUCUUCGUAAACGAUCGCUUGCAUUGCCGGGGUCAAAGGGUAGUGGCGGUCUUUUAUUGGCACCGCCUCGUCGACCAGCUUGAUGGAAUGCUUUUCAAGGUGAGUGCGUCCUAACCCGUGUUCUUCAUAAGUUUUGAAGCCGCUGACCACCUGCUGUAGACGUUGUUUUUGUUCCGCCGAAAGAAUAUGCAGGACAUGCCGCUCGUUCUUAUCCUCUUCGGACACCAAAUCCCGCUCUAAUUUGCUGAAGUUGAUUUCAUCUAUUGAUAUCAGAUCUGGAGCUAACUGGAAUGCGCGCCAGAAGUCCACCCCUAAGUAGAUAUUUUGUUCAAGGUAAGGUGAGUUUGCCUAACACAUUGUGUGAGCGUCCUCCAGCCGUUUUUACACUCGAAACGUACCGUUCAAUUGAGGCGUCUAGUUCUUCUAUGAACUCCCUACAGCCACGGCCCAGAAUGCUUACCGAUGCGCCAGUAUCUAACAAUCCGCGUGUACGAAUUCCCUGAAUUUCGAUGUCGGCAUAAACGCGGGGAUCCGCUUGAUCUGCGCUCUUUACCGACGACACAACCUUUCGGCGUAGCAGCUUACGUUGUCGAAACCUAUCACGCGCCUUUUGAACUUUCCGCGGAACCCUUCGGCGUCCCAUCAAGGCGCUGUCGGCGAAAAUGCGUUGGCGUGCUUCCAAAUACUUCCUCAUUCUUUCUUCGUAGGAUGGCAUACUCACGGUCUUGGGCAAAUAUUUCUUUGUAUUAUUUUUGAUUUUAUCGAAAAUGCUAAUAUUUGUUGCACUUCCAGGUAGUUUUGCGUCGCGACUUAGCCCGUCGGCUGUUGGUGUGUUGGUCGAGGCAUCUACUGGUGCGGGGUUUGUGUGGAGCGCGAUUCCCCCGUCGUAAUGGCGUUCCGUAAGGCGUUUCCCGCUGGGUUGCAUACCGGACAUUUCGGUGUUAUGACAUCUAACUUCCCACAUUUGAAGCAAAAUAUUCGGCGCUGCAUGGACAUGCAAUCGGUGAAGAAAUGGCCUUCCACACCACAAUUCCAACACGAUACCUUGCUGCGCCCAGCUGGCUGUCUAGCCGCGCGUUGGUGGCGUAUUUCCUCCACGGUGACUUGACCCUCAUCACCGGGAGAGAAAUGUUCUUCGUCUUCGAUCGACAUGAUUUCAUUGACGUGUUGUGAGCGUGGAACAAAGCCACUUGUUAGCGUGCGAUCCCUACGCGGAAAACACCGUUCCACUUCCUUACAUUCCAACCGUAGCUGCUCGAGUGAAUACGCGGCAAUGGGAUAUACUAUCUUAGCCAACGAUUCGCGCAAAUUCCCUUUCACUAAUCGGAUAAUCUCGUACUCCGGAAUUGGAUUUCUAAGUCGCGAGCGCAAUGUACCCACCACGUGAAAAUACUCCUCUAUGGAUUCACCAGGUCUUUGCUUCCGCUCCGUCAAUUCCCUCAGAAGCUCGAAGUCGGUGUGUUGUGAUGCGAAUUGGCGUCGAAGUGCGAAUUGCAAGCUAGGCCAAUCCACUUUACCAUGCGACUUAAUAUAGAGCCAAUACCAUUCACGCGCCUCCCCACUCAACAGCCUAUGGAAGUCGCGUAGAAUUUCUCCCCAUGAACACGCAUAUUGUUCCUUCAGAUAUUCUAACCGAAACAGAAAAUCUUCAACUGACAUUGAACCUCGGUUACCUUGAUAAUUUAUCCCCCAUUUUUCUAUGUUAAUAUCCGAUCGACUAUCAUCUUUAUAAUUUUCUUUUACAGACCUAGGACGACCGCUUCCAGAGGGAACUGCCGCGAUUGCUGCAUCUAGUGUUGGUGGUUGGCGAACUGGUGGUGGAUCGUGGUAAGCCAGUGCAUAUGUAGCUGAAUGUGACCUUGCAACGUAGUUGUUUCUGUUUGCGGCUUCUGCGGUGUUAUUACUAACCUUAUCACUCCUAGGUGCGACGCUAUCUGAACGUCUCGACUCCAAGGAUUCGAUGCUGGUAUUGUGUUUCCUCUUUUUGCUCAUUCGGUUGCGCGCCCUAUUAUCGAAACCUGACGCGCCUGCCCGUGCACCUGGGCCUCGUGCUGUUCUAAUUAGCUCCUGCAUAUUCUCGCGCAUUUCGCUCAUCAGGCACUUUUGUGCUUCCGCAACCAUUUCUUUUAGAACCGGUGCUAUUUCAUCUCGGAUAUCACGAGCCUUGGUUGAAUUGCUUAUGGGAAGCCGGUUGGUCCCGCCGUAAGUAGUUGGAGGAGGGUGGGGAAAAGUCCAGGGGAGUGGUUGUGGUAGCGUUAAGGUUAUUGAUUGGGACUCAGUCUGUUUGGGAACCGCCCCGGUGUUUUUAGUUGCACCUGAUGCAUUGUUUGCAACUUCCUGCACUGAGUCACUACCAGUUGACCUAGCGUUAUUAUUGCCCCCUAUGCGAUCUGAUAGGUCUAUGAAGGCAGGGUCGUUUGUGCUUUGCUCCUUUUGUGGAGGCACGUUCCCUGGUGGAUGCAUAUUAGCUUUUUUUGUGUUCGCUCGGGUAUUGUAAGCAAUUUGAGUGCGUGUCAUUCAAAUAUAUGUACAAAUAUAUAAAAAAAUAUUAUUUACGACGAAGAGAAUUAAAAAUUAUUCUUGGAUCGAUAUUGACUUAUGCGAUUUCAUAAAAACGGGGGAGGGCUAGAUGACGUUCCGGGGUUGAGGAUCGGUUGACCAAAUCCUUUUCGGGGAGUGAUUGGAGCGCUGAUCGUCGUUCCUGCGAGCAACAAUAUGCCAGUUCGGUGCAAAUAAUAAAAAAAUCUAAGUUAAGAAAUAUUCAGAAUCAAUAUGGUUAUGCAUCGUUACUGAGAGUUAGUUGCGGUCAUAACGUACUUUUAAACUUCAAAGCAGCUUAAUUACUUCAUGCACCUAUUAGGACUUUGAAUAAAAGCAAAAAAAAUUUACAUCCUGAAACUACUUUCCAAACAAAAAAAAUACAAAGAACCAUACAAAAAAUGCAUUGUGGAUGGAGAUGCAAAUAGUUUGGACUAUUCAUAUCCAGCUAUGCCAUCUUAGGGUUAUUGCCGGGGUCUGGUCAUCCCACAACCCUCUUAAUACAGAUGCGGUUGAACUUGCGCACUAAUGCUGAAAGCAAGCCAUCUCUUUAGGAGGAGAAUGCAGUCCAACCGGACCCUUUUAUUCGAACGAUAUAACAAAAAAAAUACUUUUAUAGGCUGAAAUAAAUUUAUAUACGAACUUUGUAUGCAUGUACAUAUGUAUGUGUACCUAUGUUCGAUAUGCGUUUUCAUUGCGCUGCUUAGGGCGAGGCCCACAGCGUUAUUUCCCAAAAUACUUAAAUUCGCAGACGCCAAUUUCAACCUAUGGCGCUAGUGUUAUUUCCGGUGGUUUUUGUUUGGGCGCCAUUUUAUCUUUGUCGCGUACACGUGUCGCCCAUUUUCAGACCACCAUUGUG
This is a long non-coding RNA of Rhagoletis pomonella (apple maggot), 3961 nucleotides long. RefSeq lists it as uncharacterized. The record is from RefSeq and is a predicted model, not a curated record. The transcript has 3 exons. NCBI's taxonomy places the organism in Eukaryota, Metazoa, Arthropoda, Insecta, Diptera, Tephritidae.